UACGUAGGGUGCGAGCGUUGUCCGGAAUUAUUGGGCGUAAAGAGCUCGUAGGCGGCCUGUCGCGUCGGAUGUGAAAGCCCGGGGCUUAACCCCGGGUCUGCAUUCGAUACGGGCAGGCUAGAGUGUGGUAGGGGAGAUCGAAUUCCUGGUGUAGCGGUGAAAUGCGCAGAUAUCAGGAGGAACACCGGUGGCGAAGGCGGAUCUCUGGGCCAUUACUGACGCUGAGGAGCGAAAGCGUGGGAGCGAACAGG
RNAcentral lists this ribosomal RNA (251 nucleotides) under uncultured bacterium. RNAcentral's name for it is "partial 16S ribosomal RNA". It matches the Rfam family "Bacterial small subunit ribosomal RNA", at positions 524 to 776 of the family's 1533-position model. The record is from RNAcentral.